AGUGAACGCUGGCGGUAAGCCUAACACAUGCAAGUCGAACGGCAGCACAGUAAGAGCUUGCCCUUACGGGUGGCGAGUGGCGGACGGGUGAGGAAUACAUCGGAAUCUACUUUUUCGUGGGGGAUAACGUAGGGAAACUUACGCUAAUACCGCAUACGACCUACGGGUGAAAGCAGGGGAUCUUCGGACCUUGCGCGAUUGAAUGAGCCGAUGUCGGAUUAGCUAGUUGGCGGGGUAAAGGCCCACCAAGGCGACGAUCCGUAGCUGGUCUGAGAGGAUGAUCAGCCACACUGGAACUGAGACACGGUCCAGACUCCUACGGGAGGCAGCAGUGGGGAAUAUUGGACAAUGGGCGCAAGCCUGAUCCAGCCAUACCGCGUGGGUGAAGAAGGCCUUCGGGUUGUAAAGCCCUUUUGUUGGGAAAGAAAAGCAGCAGGAUAAUACCCCGCUGUUCUGACGGUACCCAAAGAAUAAGCACCGGCUAACUUCGUG
Molecule: ribosomal RNA, 492 nt
Filed under: uncultured bacterium
Lineage: Bacteria
Description: partial 16S ribosomal RNA
Rfam family: Bacterial small subunit ribosomal RNA
Source: RNAcentral